RNAcentral lists this ribosomal RNA (405 nucleotides) under uncultured bacterium. RNAcentral describes it as "bacterial SSU rRNA". It matches the Rfam family "Bacterial small subunit ribosomal RNA", at positions 30 to 437 of the family's 1533-position model. The record is from RNAcentral.
AUUGAACGCUGGCGGCAUGCUUUACACAUGCAAGUCGAACGGUAACAGGCCUUCGGGUGCUGACGAGUGGCGAACGGGUGAGUAAUGCAUCGGAACGUGCCCAAUCGUGGGGGAUAACGUAGCGAAAGUUACGCUAAUACCGCAUAAGCCCUGAGGGGGAAAGCAGGGGAUCGCGAGACCUUGCGCGAAUGGAGCGGCCGAUGUCAGAUUAGCUAGUUGGUGGGGUAAAGGCCCUACCAAGGCGACGAUCUGUAGCGGGUCUGAGAGGAUGAUCCGCCACACUGGGACUGAGACACGGCCCAGACUCCUACGGGAGGCAGCAGUGGGGAAUUUUGGACAAUGGGCGCAAGCCUGAUCCAGCCAUGCCGCGUGCGGGACGAAGGCCUUCGGUUGUAAACCGCGUUU